UACGGGGGGGGCAAGCGUUGUUCGGAAUUACUGGGCGUAAAGCGCACGUAGGCGGCUUUGUAAGUUAGAGGUGAAAGCCCGGGGCUCAACUCCGGAACUGCCUUUAAAACUGCAUCGCUUGAAUCCAGGAGAGGUGAGUGGAAUUCCGAGUGUAGAGGUGAAAUUCGUAGAUAUUCGGAAGAACACCAGUGGCGAAGGCGGCUCACUGGACUGGUAUUGACGCUGAGGUGCGAAAGCCAGGGGAGCGAACGGG
Molecule: ribosomal RNA, 253 nt
Filed under: uncultured bacterium
Lineage: Bacteria
Description: partial 16S ribosomal RNA
Rfam family: Bacterial small subunit ribosomal RNA
Source: RNAcentral